GAAAUAAUGUCGUAGGAAGGGCCUCUUUGAAGGGCUCUUCAUACUGGAACUGGAGCUCAUCCUGGGACACCCUCCUUCAUGAGCACUACUUUUCUGACGCUCUAACAGAUCAACAUUCCCACUAAUAUCACUGUCAACAAUCCUGUUUCGAAGUCUCUUUCUAGCUUUCAAUUCUAUCUUAGCUUUUGCCUUUUCAUAUAUCUUCAAGGCCUGCUUCUCCCCAAAAGUACACACAGGGCAAGCUGGGUCAUACCUAUUGAUUUCAGAUGUCAUAUUCUCCAAGCACUCAGCAUGGAAAACAUGGCCGCAAACUAGAACAGCAACAGCAAGUUCAUUUAAUAGCUUUGCACAUAUGCCACACGUUUGGAGAUCGAAUGAAGAUGACCCAGAACCUCGGCUAGUGGCCCUUUCACGAUGGAAACCAAAGGAUUCACUAUCAAAUGACCACCU
RNAcentral lists this unclassified non-coding RNA (450 nucleotides) under Hevea brasiliensis (rubber tree). The record is from RNAcentral. Lineage: Eukaryota; Viridiplantae; Streptophyta; Magnoliopsida; Malpighiales; Euphorbiaceae.